Long non-coding RNA from Mustela erminea (ermine), 1892 nucleotides. RefSeq lists it as uncharacterized. NCBI's taxonomy places the organism in Eukaryota, Metazoa, Chordata, Mammalia, Carnivora, Mustelidae. The transcript has 3 exons. The record is from RefSeq and is a predicted model, not a curated record.
UCCAGCACCCCACCCCCACCCCAGCCGGCCUGAGCGCUCUGUCCCACCUCCCGGAGGGAGCGUCUGUGUCCGGUCCAGAUCCCUAACCCGACCUCUCCCUCGGACCCGCGGUGGUUGCCGCUGUGGGGCGGGGCUGAAGGGCGGGCCAGAGCCUCCCCGGAAGGGAAGGGGCUGUAGGCUCCCCUGUGCCCUCUGGACUCUGGCCUCGCCCAGGGCCGAUUGGGUGUUUGGGGGGACGGGCCUGGACAGCAAGAAUCUCCUCUGUGUGAGCAAGUCGCUGCCCUUCAGCCACAAGCCAGGGCCGGUGGUGGAGUCCGGCUGGCUCUAGGAUGCGGCCCCUCACUUCACGGAAGGUCCCCCCUCCCAUGCCCACCUUGUAUGGCCCCAGUUCUGCAGCCAUGACUUUGGUGAGUGCCGUCAUCGCGCCCUUGGUGGAGCCUGUGGAGGGCAGAGAGCCCUGAGGACCCAUUAGGGAUUCCACCUCCUAUGCACAGAGGCUAAGCCCCAGAGCCCAGUGUCUCCUGCCUGGAAAGGGGGGUACAGGCUGGGCAGAGGGACUCACUGUAGACAGCUAGGUUGGGGAAGGUGACGUGGGCCACCAUGCUGGACACGUUGACAAUGGAGCCGGGCACUCCACGCUGGAUCAGGCCCCGGGCCACGAUCUAGAAGCCAGGAAAGAGGCAGCCUGACCCCAGGACGCUCCCACCUGGGCCUUGUCAUUGCUGGGCCUUGUCCUCCCUCUGGCUCACCUGGGACACUUGGACCACAGAGCGCAGGUUCACGUUGAAGGUCCUGGGGGAGGGCGGAGAGUCAGAUGGUCCGUGGCCACACCUGCUCUGCAGCAGCCCCUCCCCAGUCUACCUACUCUCCAACUCCCCACCUGUCGAAGACGUGUUUGGUGACCUCCAGGAAGGGCUGCGUCUGCAGCGUGGCAGCAUUGUUCACCAGCAGGUCCACGGGGCCCACGUUGCCCAGUGCCCGCUCCGUGGCCUCCCAGUCACCCAGGUCCACACACACGGUCUCUAUCCCAGGGCACUGUGGAGAGGCAUUGGUCAGCGAUCAAGAAGGUAGUCCGGCAGGCUCCUGAGGCACCCGGAGGGCGUGGGGGGCAGGCUCGGGCCACGGCGGGGGUGCGUGCCUCACCUGCUCGGAGAGGCUCACCAGGUCCGUGUUGGUGCGGCUCACGGCGACCACUGCGGCGCCCAGCGCGUGCAGGGCCUUCACAGUGCCUCUCCCGAUCCCUGCAGGGGUGCACUGGUGAGGAGAUGGCCCCGGGACAUCUGGGUCAAGCCUGAGGACCGAAGCUGCAGCCCCCUCUGCUCGGGAAAGGGAGUGAGAAGGUGCUGGGCAGAGAGUGGGCACCAGGGGGACGUGGUACCAGGUCUGAGGCAGAGGCUCGGCCAGCCAGGCUCCGGCUGAGGGAGGCCCCCGAGGAGCUCCUGCCCACCAGACCCAGGGAAGAGGCCCCGGCUGGACCUCUGAGCUUGAGGGCCACCAUCUGGGGCAGGGGUCUUGCCUUCCUCUCCCAGGGCAGCCUGCCGGGCUCAGGUCCAGGGGCUGUGGGGGCCGCGGUGAGGGGAUGAUUGCUGGCAGGUUGGUCCGUGACAGGCAUGGAGGGACUCAGACCCCCGCGCAAACCUGGGAGGCUCCGCCCACCUUCCCCUCCGGCUCUGCCCUCAGGCACCCUUACCCACCCUGCUCACACCCACCUUUCCCUGCCCCCGUCACCAGGGCCCGCCCGCCGCUGAAGUUCAGCCGCAUGGUACCGACUCUGAGCCUCUGUCCGGUGGGAGAGGAGCGCACGGAGGGAUCUGCUGCCCUCCUGACACACAACCCGAAGGUGCUGGCCAAAAGCCCCACCCUGAGUUUUGAAAAAGGAAAUUAAAAAAAAA